This 41-nucleotide ribosomal RNA is filed under the name uncultured Geotrichum. RNAcentral's name for it is "partial 5.8S ribosomal RNA". Lineage: Eukaryota; Fungi; Ascomycota; Dipodascomycetes; Dipodascales; Dipodascaceae. The record is from RNAcentral.
AAAACUUUUAACAAUGGAUCUCUUGGUUCUCGUAUCGAUGA